Molecule: long non-coding RNA, 422 nt
Filed under: Bemisia tabaci
Lineage: Eukaryota; Metazoa; Arthropoda; Insecta; Hemiptera; Aleyrodidae
Description: lncRNA ENSSSA2NGG000814
Source: RNAcentral
UUAUCGAAGUCCGUCUUUUUGGCUUACAUAGGUACUAAAAAUUAUUUAAAUGUAUAGAAUUAAAGUGCAUAUUUCAAUUAUGAUGUUUCAGUACCUAUUAUCAUUCGCCUCACAACGUCUCCAAGUCGUUUCCUUUCUCGUGUUUAUACGGGCCCUGCGAUAUCAGCUCAUUCAAUUUUACGUCUACUCAUGCUCUUAUUGUGGUGGCUGUGAGCCUGAGUCUUCUCCAUGUAUAUUGGACGUGCCUCAUCUUCAAAGUUCUCUACCUGGCUAUUUUCGUUGGGAAAGUGAGUAAACAUUCAGAUCCUAUCGACAUUAACAACUUCACAUACUUUCACCGUUAAAUAUUUUGAGCGCGUAUAGGACAGUAUGUUUAUUUCAGUUAUUUAUCCGAAAGAACAUUAAAGUGCGUAUUUGGGUAU